Molecule: small nuclear RNA, 107 nt
Organism: Jaculus jaculus (lesser Egyptian jerboa)
Lineage: Eukaryota; Metazoa; Chordata; Mammalia; Rodentia; Dipodidae
Source: Ensembl
GUGCUCACUUUGGCAGCACAUAUACUAAAAUUGAAACAAUAAAGAGAAGAUUGGCAUGGCCCCUGUGCAAGGAUAACAUUUAUUUACUUGUAAACAGAUAGAUAAGA